This is a long non-coding RNA of Parus major (Great Tit), 2889 nucleotides long. RefSeq lists it as uncharacterized. The transcript has 5 exons. NCBI's taxonomy places the organism in Eukaryota, Metazoa, Chordata, Aves, Passeriformes, Paridae. The record is from RefSeq and is a predicted model, not a curated record.
CCCGGCGCGCGCGCGCGCGCGAUGCGGGCUGCGGGCACCGCUCAGCCUUCGGUGUGAGGGGGAGAGAGCCUCGUCCCUUCCCCGCGCCGGGAAUAAAGGUGCCUGUGAUGGGGAAAACUCGUACCCUCAGGAGGUGGAAUCCAGAAGCAGGGCAGGUUUUCCCCUCAGGAAGUGGAAGCUAGAAGCAGGACGGGUUUUCUCCUCAGAAGAUGGGAUCCAGACACACCCAUGUUAAGGUACACACAGACACGCACCAGGAUGAACCGCUGCCAGGGCAGAUGUUUGCAGUGGAGUCAGAGCCAGAAGAACCUGGACUGCAGCCACCUCAGCGAGGAGUGGAAAGAAGGGAAAACCCCUCUCUAACAUUAAUAAAGAGCUGAAAAUUCCACAGCAGUUCUUGAACAUUUCUUCCAUGCUACAGCGUCUGCUCUGAUGUGACCAACUUUAAAAUUCCCCAUCAACUUUAAGGGAACUUCCUGAGAAAAUUAUGCUGCCUUUCCUGGUUCAGUGAAACUCUCCUCUUCCAAAGAAAGGUCACAAGGCUUUUUCUUUUUCCUUUUUUUAACCUGUUCAUGACUGCAGAACUCCAUGCCAGAAGAGAUUAGAAUAACAAAGCUCACAGGCUUCAGAUCAAACCACAGACUUCACCUUGCUGCAGUUCAUCUUCCAUCAAUAACAAUCACCUGAAAUAGGACAGAAAAAUCUAAAUCUUUGCAAGGCUUUUAAGAAUCCAAGAGGUGCAGACACCACAUUAAAAAAACAAUGAUAAAAGCACUGCAGCAGUUACUGAAACACCAUGUGUGUGUAGAAAAUCCCUAUGAAAAGCAUAUAUGGGAAUAAAUCCUAUUGUUGCUAAGUAAAGAACAAAAUUUGCUUCAGGAAAAUACAUGAAAUUUGGUUUAUGGACAGACUUUUGGAUAAAUGUGUGGGUAAAAGAUGUGUGGUUUGUGGCAAGGCUGUAAAUGAAAAAAUAAUCAAAAAUAUAGAGAAGAAAGAAUAUUCUUGUAAUUCUAUCAUCUCUUAUUUUCACAAGCUAUAAAGAGAAAGCAUUAGAUGUUGGACACUGGAGAUGCUUUUAAGAUUAGAUAAUUUAGCUAAGAAGCGUUAUUAUAGAAAAAGCAAUGGCAUAUGCUUAUUAUUAGAUAAUUAUAUUAGGAAUGGCCUCUCAGGCAGAAUGGAUUCUGUGAAACAGCCUUACAUUUGUAUAAAACCUUCAAGUCACAAGAGAAAAGAACAGCUUUAUAAAAUGAAAGAAAAUGACCUAAAUAGGAAGAUCUUUACAAGUUCCUGUAGUAGCUCAAUAUCCCAAAGGGGAGGAAAAUGAAGAGCUCACAAUUCCUUACUUGACUUUAAGCAUUUCUUCAAUGUGUCUGCAUUGCUCAGAACCAAUUUCUCUCCUAGUUUAGCUUUGACUAAAGUACAGUGGAGUCCCUGAAGUAUAGCAUAUUUAACCAAAAAAUCUCCACAAUAAAUUGUUGCAAAUAAACCCAAACUGAUUAGUAUUUUAAUUUGCAACCUUUUAUACAGAAGUCACGUUUAAUUUUGUCUACUGGACUGAAAGAAAAGGCUUUUGCAGCACAGGUUUUCAGAAGCUUGAGCUCAGUGUUCUCUUUGAGGUCAGAUUUAUUAAAAAAAAAAUCCCUCCCAAAUGAAAAUUUAUGAAAACAAACUGGAAAAGUUGCAUUAAGUUUACUAAGGUAAAAAUAUGUACAGCUGUUGCAGCAGUAAGAUUAUUACAAACUAGGUGGAUGGGAGAAUUAAAGCCUAAACAAAAGAGUAAUUAAAAAUAAUAAUGUUUAACUGUUAAUCUGUCAAAAUAUCUGAAGUAGCAAGAAAAUCAAGCAAGAAAUGCUUUUUGUGAGUUGGAAAAGGGAGCAAGUGAAUAUCCUGUCAUACCACUGAUGCUCUCAGACCACAAAACUGGCUGUAGAAAUGGAAGUGGUGAAAAAAAAGUGUCCUGCAAAAGGAAAAUCUGAAGUGCAGAUUCUUAUUUAAAUGAUGAUUGGGUACUUCUCUGCAGUUCUGAGGGCACAGAAUUGUUACUUUUGAGAAAAAAAUAGCGAGAAAAUAAAUUAGCCUUCACCAAGCACUGAAACUUUGUGCAGGUAAAAUCUCAUUAAUGGCUACAAGAGUUCUUGAGCAAGAAGCCCAAGCCUGAUGUAACAAACUGGAACUGCCACCACCGUUUGUGGGCAUUAAAAUCUUUCAAAAAGGAUGAAGAGAUUCUUUUUUUUUAUUCUUUUUUUUGCACCAGUGAGGCGAGCAAUCACCCAGUAUUAGGAAGAACACAAAUUUAAACAUUCGGAAAAACUUUUCACUUGGUCAGCAGCACAAGAGAUGAGGACAGUAAGGGAAAUUACUUUAAUUCAGUGGAGAAAAGGAAUAUGCUACCACUAUUAACCUUAAGAAAUAUCCAAAUGAUUAAAACCUUCUAACCCAUUGCCUUGUAAAUUAUUUCCUAAUUCUAGCUCUGUAGGGUUUCUGCAGUAUCGCUAAGUUAAAUAUUAUCCGUGUUCUUUCGAAGGCCUGAUGAGCUAUUAACAUUACAAUUAGAGCUUCAGCUGCUAACGAGGAACACUCGAGAUAUGUGUUUGCUCCACAACGUCACUGCACGCCAUAAAACAGGGGAUAACAGGAAUUUCCCAUCACCUGGAGUGUUUUUUUACAACAUUUAAAUGCAGAAGCCCGAGCUGGACUGUAGUGUGGAAGCGUAGGAGAGGCGCUGGAAGCGCCGGGCACCUCCGGAGGGCACAGGGCCAGUGUCCCUCCUAUCCCGGCUAUCCCCAAGCACAGCCGGGCCGCCCCCAACAACCCCUGCAGGCUCUGAUCCUCUGUCAGGAGCAGUGGUGCUGCUGCCGGGGACCCCGCUGCCGGGGAUGCCGCUGCCGG